AGUGGUUUUUUCAUCAUCAGCAGAAAAAUUAAUUUUCAAGCUCAAAUAUUUGAGGAAAAGUCUAAAAUCGUUCAACAAGAAUGGAUCAAUCUCAGGAUGCUAGCUUCCAAGCUGGACAGACUAUGGGCCAAGCUCAGGAGAAGGGAAACCAGAUGAUGGACAAGGCUUGCAAUGCUGCCAAUUCCGCAACCGAAUCCUGUAAAGAGACUAGUCAGCAAGUAAAGGCUAAAGCACAGGAUAUGACUGAAGCUGUUAAGAGCAAAGUUGGAGCAAACAAAUGAAAAAUUUACUAUAUUUAUUUUUAUUAUUUUGCUUCAGUCUGUGCAGUUUUUACUGCCUUCAUUUUUUUGUUUUCUUUCCAAUUUUCAUAAAUCAAUGAGAACUUUUGAUUUGUAAGUCAUAAGUGGGAUAUAUUUGGUACAAUUCUUGUUUAUUGGAUAAGGAUUUUAAUAUAAGAUGGAUAGAAAAUCGGCUUAUUGUUCUUGAUAGAAAAA
Long non-coding RNA from Mercurialis annua (annual mercury), 494 nucleotides. RefSeq lists it as uncharacterized. The transcript is spliced from 3 exons. Lineage: Eukaryota; Viridiplantae; Streptophyta; Magnoliopsida; Malpighiales; Euphorbiaceae. The record is from RefSeq and is a predicted model, not a curated record.